AUCGCGGAGAGUUUGAUCCUGGCUCAGAACGAACGCUGGCGGCGCGUCUUAAGCAUGCAAGUCGAGCGGGAUUGGGGAGCUUGCUCCCCAUGAGAGCGGCGGACUGGCGAGGAGCGCGUGGGCGACGCGCCCCCCGGACGGGAACAGCCCGUGGAAACACGGGGUAAUGCCGGAUGGCAUGCAGGGCUUGGAGGCCCUGCAUCAAAGGGGCUUCGGCCCCGCCGGGGGAGCGGCCCGCGUCCCAUCAGCUUGUUGGCGGAGCAAAAGCCCACCAAGGCGACGACGGGUGUCCGGCCUGAGAGGGCGACCGGACGCAUUGGGACUGAGAUACGGCCCAGACUCCUACGGGAGGCAGCAGCUAAGAAUAUUCCGCAAUGGGGGAAACCCUGACGGAGCGACGCCGCGUGGAUGAUGAAGGCCGGAUGGUUGUAAAAUCCUUUUGGGUACGAGGAAUAAGUAAAGUGAGAGAAACGCUUUAUGGUGACGGUA
RNAcentral lists this ribosomal RNA (489 nucleotides) under Treponema sp. Its description in RNAcentral is "bacterial SSU rRNA". It matches the Rfam family "Bacterial small subunit ribosomal RNA", at positions 1 to 477 of the family's 1533-position model. Lineage: Bacteria; Pseudomonadati; Spirochaetota; Spirochaetia; Treponematales; Treponemataceae. The record is from RNAcentral.